Molecule: ribosomal RNA, 252 nt
Filed under: uncultured bacterium
Lineage: Bacteria
Description: partial 16S ribosomal RNA
Rfam family: Bacterial small subunit ribosomal RNA
Source: RNAcentral
UACGUAGGUCCCGAGCGUUGUCCGGAUUUAUUGGGCGUAAAGCGAGCGCAGGUAGUUUAUUAAGUCUGGUGUAAAAGGCAGUGGCUCAACCAUUGUAUGCAUUGGAAACUGGUAGACUUGAGUGCAGGAGAGGAGAGUGGAAUUCCAUGUGUAGCGGUGAAAUGCGUAGAUAUAUGGAGGAGCACCGGUGGCGAAGGCGGCUCUCUGGCCUGUAACUGACACUGAGGCUCGAAAGCGUGGGGAGCAAACAGG